Molecule: small nucleolar RNA, 132 nt
Organism: Apodemus sylvaticus (European woodmouse)
Lineage: Eukaryota; Metazoa; Chordata; Mammalia; Rodentia; Muridae
Product: small nucleolar RNA SNORA17
Exons: 1
Source: RefSeq, a predicted model, not a curated record
CCUGCCACUAGAGGAGUUGCAGGUUUGACUGCUAUGUCACAUGUGCUUUAUUAGGAGGCAGAGAGGAGAGAGGCUAUGUCUACACUCAGUGUUCUAACCUGUAUACAUGUGAAUGGUUAGUAGCUUAAUGUG